GAUCCUGGCUCAGAUUGAACGCUGGCGGCAGGCCUAACACAUGCAAGUCGAACGGUAACAGGAAGCAGCUUGCUGCUUCGCUGACGAGUGGCGGACGGGUGAGUAAUGUCUGGGAAACUGCCUGAUGGAGGGGGGAUAACUACUGGAAACGGUAGCUAAUACCGCAUAACGUCGCAAGACCAAAGAGGGGGGACCUUCGGGCCGUCUUGCCAUCGGAUGUGCCCAGAUGGGAUUAGCUAGUAGGG
RNAcentral lists this ribosomal RNA (245 nucleotides) under uncultured bacterium. RNAcentral's name for it is "partial 16S ribosomal RNA". It matches the Rfam family "Bacterial small subunit ribosomal RNA", at positions 15 to 253 of the family's 1533-position model. The record is from RNAcentral.